UGGUAAAGUCCGCCCCGGGACUUACGCAAUCACUCGCUAAGUCCAACGGAAACCAUACGUGCCAAGUCGGAAGAGAUAUGGUAAAGUCCGUCCUGGGACAUACGCAAUCAUAAGCUAAGUCCAACGGAAACCAUACGUGCCAAGUCAGAAGACAUAUGGUAAAGUCCGUCCUGGGACAUACGCAAUCAUCCGCUAUGUCAAACGGAAACCAUACGUGCCAAGUCACAAGAGAUAUGGUUAAGUCCGUCCUGGGACAUACGCAAUCACCGGCUAAGUCCAACGGAAACCAUUCGUGCCAAGUCACGAAGAGAUAUGGCC
This 318-nucleotide long non-coding RNA is filed under the name Hordeum vulgare. RNAcentral describes it as "long non-coding RNA (HVUL_LNC017679)". Lineage: Eukaryota; Viridiplantae; Streptophyta; Magnoliopsida; Poales; Poaceae. The record is from RNAcentral.